AGGCUCUGGGAGCUGCAAGGAGAGAGCAAGGUCAGUUGGAUCCGUUGUCAGGAAAGAAUCUGUGUCAGGUAGAGGAGGUGCAGAUAGGGGAGAAAGGAUAAGGGUUUGAGAGGCAUCAACAGAUGCAUAAAAACAAAGAAAAAAUGGUGCAUAAAGUGGGAAUGUGUCAAAGUAUAAAGAAUGCCUGUACAUAGGGAACUUCGGACCAUUUUCUCAACCUCUGGCAGUAGCUGUCUAAGUCUCACAGGAUGCAGAAAUCAAAAGUGCCAUUCUCUGGCCACUGAGAGCCAUUUUCUGGUUUGUAUUAUGGCCAUGCAGUGUUACAGAAGAAAAUCAGAUGUUUAGGCUUCAGAUCAGGGUAUAGAUGGAGAGAUUUCAGAUUCUUUAAGAGUCAGGCUAGAGAAGAAGAAGGAGGAAUAGAAGAAUGAACAUUUCCUAUUGGAGCAGAGAGAGAGGAUUGUCAUGCCCUGUGUGACAAAGACCAGCAACAGGGUCAACAAUGGGAUAUCUCCAGCUGUGACCCAGGCUGUGACUGAACAUGGACCGAGCAGUUGAUAACCCUGUGGGUGCUCUUUGUUUUCACCACUGUUGGGAACUGCGUCGUGCUGUUCUCCAUGUGGAGGAGGAAGAGAAGGCCCAGGAUGACCUUCUUUGUGACUCAGCUGACCAUCACAGACUUUCACAGGUCUGGUCAGCAUCUUGACAGACAUUGUUUGGCGAUUCACGGAGACUUCCUGGCGCCGGACCUGAUCUGCCGAGUGCUUCGCUAUUUGCAGGCAUGUGGCACCGGCCAAGCCUGGCGAGACAGACUGACACCAGAGGAAAAUAUCGAACGUCCAGCUCUCCCAGGAGACGGAUUGCCACUUCCUCCUAUGUGAAAUGACAGGCACCUUUUGCAAGGUUUUUGAAAUGUGAUUUUGUAGUUUAGUAUCAGGCGAUUUUGCUAAAAAUACUCCAUGUACAUUAAAACUACAAAUAGGCAACCCUAAGAAUAUGAAGCACUCAUAUUUCAACCAUCCAGUAGAAUUUCUUGGUCGAUAUUAAGACUUUUGACAUAGUAUGGCUAAAUAAUCUCCAGAAAAACUGUCAGUUAUAUUUACCAUUUGCCUCUUAAACUAACCCAACAGUGUUCUUUAAACAACAAAAAAAUCUUUAACAAUUUCAUAAAAAAUAAGUAUUGAGUAAUUGCCACUUAAACUACACUUUUUAAAAUAUCUAUUGACAUUUGAAUGUCUUCUUCUCUAAACCUACUAUUAAAUCCUUUCAAUUAUCUUAGAACUGGGAUACUUAUUAUUGUCUGAGUUUUGCUAAUACCUUUUUUAGAUUAAAGAUAUCUUUACUUUGCCUAUCGAUAGGUUCCAGUGUAAGACAGUUACAUAGACACAAUAUGUAUAAUUGAUUUAAAAUAUCACAUAUACAUCAAUUAUUUGUAUUCUUAAAGCACUACACAUGUAUAUAAUACAAAUAGAGACAAUUCAACUACAG
This 1485-nucleotide long non-coding RNA is filed under the name Heterocephalus glaber (naked mole-rat). Its description in RNAcentral is "lncRNA (ENSHGLG00100044703.1)". The record is from RNAcentral. Lineage: Eukaryota; Metazoa; Chordata; Mammalia; Rodentia; Bathyergidae.